Molecule: ribosomal RNA, 838 nt
Filed under: uncultured bacterium
Lineage: Bacteria
Description: bacterial SSU rRNA
Rfam family: Bacterial small subunit ribosomal RNA
Source: RNAcentral
ACGGGUGAGUAACACGUGGGCAACCUGCCCGGAGGUGGGGGAUAACCCUCGGAAAGGAGGGCUAAUACCGCAUCAUAUUCAUGAGGUUGCGACCUCAUGAAUCAAAGCUAGCCUCUACUUGUAAGCUAGCGCCACCGGAGGGGCCCGCGCCCCAUUAGCUUGUUGGUGAGGUAACGGCUCACCAAGGCUACGAUGGGUAGCCGGCCUGAGAGGGCGAUCGGCCACACUGGAACUGAGAUACGGUCCAGACUCCUACGGGAGGCAGCAGUGAGGAAUUUUGCGCAAUGGGGGAAACCCUGACGCAGCGACGCCGCGUGGAGGACUAAGGCCUUCGGGUCGUAAACUCCUGUCAAGUGGGACGAAUGCCGUCGGGAUGAAUAAGCCCGGCGAUUGACGGUACCAUUGAAGGAAGCCCCGGCUAACUCCGUGCCAGCAGCCGCGGUAAUACGGGGGGGGCUAGCGUUGUUCGGAAUUAUUGGGCGUAAAGGGCGCGUAGGCGGCCUGGUAAGUCGGGCGUGAAAUCCCGCGGCUCAACCGCGGAACUGCGUUCGAAACUGCCGGGCUUGAGUCCCGGAGAGGGUAGCGGAAUUCCCAGUGUAGCGGUGAAAUGCGUAGAUAUUGGGAGGAACACCAGUGGCGAAGGCGGCUACCUGGACGGGUACUGACGCUGAGGCGCGAAAGCGUGGGGAGCAAACAGGAUUAGAUACCCUGGUAGUCCACGCUGUAAACGAUGGGCACUUGGUGUUGCGGGUAUCGACCCCUGCAGUGCCGAAGCUAACGCAUUAAGUGCCCCGCCUGGGGAGUACGGUCGCAAGGCUGAAACUCAAAUGAAUUGACG